Molecule: long non-coding RNA, 581 nt
Filed under: Anas platyrhynchos platyrhynchos (common mallard)
Lineage: Eukaryota; Metazoa; Chordata; Aves; Anseriformes; Anatidae
Description: lncRNA (ENSAPLG00000018362.1)
Source: RNAcentral
GGGGGAUAUUUUUCAGUUGGAUCAGGAAACUGGUCUGACUGAAUUCACAAUUGCACGUGACAAAUGGAUUGUGUCAUCACAGACAGAGUAGAAGGAAGGCUCAACCACAGACAAGAUUGAGGGAGAUGCAGUCACUUCCUGAUGGUUGCCUGCAGUUAGGUCAUAGUCCAAGUCAAUGACUUUGAGAAGACAAGACUGUUUUUCUUCAUUGACCACAGAGUCUAAAAAGUCUAGACCAUGGUGGUCUAAAGUUACAUUUUGUCAUUAUUCCUCUUCUCUCCUCAGUACUUAUAACUUCUUCCUACAGUAAACGGAGAAAGACUCAGAAGCCAGACAGAGAGCUCCUCACUUGCGAAGUUGCACAUGGUUGGCUGUUGGUGUAAUGCAAGUAAAAAUUUUUGUGAUAUUGAAACACUCCUCGCUAAGUCAUUCCAUCGUGUGAGACUAGUUUAUGUUGCUUCUGGGUCUAUUCUGUCAUGUCUGGGAGUCCUGUUACUUGGUCUGUUGUUACAUUACCGGAUGCACUUAUUCAAGUUAUUCACAUAGAUCACGGCUUAAUAAAGAAAGACAAUAAAAAUUCA